CCUACGGGCGGCAGCAGUGAGGAAUAUUGGUCAAUGGGCGCGAGCCUGAACCAGCCAAGUAGCGUGAAGGAUGACUGCCCUACGGGUUGUAAACUUCUUUUAUAAAGGAAUAAAGUGAGGCACGUGUGCCUUUUUGUAUGUACCAUAUGAAUAAGGAUCGGCUAACUCCGUGCCAGCAGCCGCGGUAAUACGGAGGAUCCGAGCGUUCUCCGGAUUUAUUGGGUUUAAAGGGAGCGUAGGUGGAUUGUUAAGUCAGUUGUGAAAGUUUGCGGCUCAACCGUAAAAGUGCAGUUGAAACUGGCAGUCUUGAGUACAGUAGAGGUGGGCGGAAUUCGUGGUGUAGCGGUGAAAUGCUUAGAUAUCACGAAGAACUCCGAUUGCGAAGGCAGGUCACUGGACUGCAACUGACACUGAGGCUCGAAAGUGUGGGGAUCAAACAGGAUUAGAUACCCGAGUAGUC
RNAcentral lists this ribosomal RNA (460 nucleotides) under uncultured bacterium. Its description in RNAcentral is "partial 16S ribosomal RNA". It matches the Rfam family "Bacterial small subunit ribosomal RNA", at positions 338 to 795 of the family's 1533-position model. The record is from RNAcentral.